This 501-nucleotide unclassified non-coding RNA is filed under the name Hevea brasiliensis (rubber tree). The record is from RNAcentral. Lineage: Eukaryota; Viridiplantae; Streptophyta; Magnoliopsida; Malpighiales; Euphorbiaceae.
AGCUAUGAAAAGUGAGAGCAGUAGAAGCAAGGGAAGACACCAAGCACAAUUGUGCAGUCUUAUAGAGCCUGGAGUCACUAUAAGACUGGAGAAUAAUAUGAUCAUGAGGAAAAGAGAUCUUGGCCUUGCCAAUUGGGUUGAAGGUAGGGAUAGGGGAGGAAUACCUUGAAUUAGAUCGAACUACCGAGACCAAACAUAAGGCAUGUAAAGCUCUAGUUAUGUGUCACUCUUAAUAGAGUAGCAUAAAUAGUACCGGAGUGCAAAGGCCUCACGGCAAUGAAAGAGGCCCAGUGCAGACAUCAGUCUCACUCGAUGGCACAUUACUCCGGCUCAACCACUGAGGUAGUUAUAGUGUGGCAAGGUCCUCUGGAGAGUCAAAGGGUAUGAAAUCAUCAAAGCCUCUAGGAGAGGGGGUAAGAAAGAACUGUAACACACCUGCUCUGUACUCCAAUCAUAGGCAGGGGACAUGACUCGAGACCCAAAGAUCUUGAUCAAAGGAGU